This is a long non-coding RNA of Cyprinus carpio carpio, 1174 nucleotides long. The record is from Ensembl. NCBI's taxonomy places the organism in Eukaryota, Metazoa, Chordata, Actinopteri, Cypriniformes, Cyprinidae.
UUUUGCAUGAGAGUAGCUACUGUAACUUACAGUACUUUUUCAGGAAAAAAGGUAACUUUUCAAAUUAUGACACUAUAUAAUUAUGGCAUUCUUAAUUUAAGACAGUCUGUGAGUGUACCUUAAAUUAAGAAUAUCAUAAUUAUGUCGUCUUAUAUUAGACUCAUUUCGGGGCUAAUGAAAUGACUGCUGCAGGUUGUAGAAUCUUUCGAGGUGGUGUUGAGCAGGAGAAGGACAGGUAAAUGAUGGCCGAGGAGAUUUCACUAUUCACUGAGAGAUGUCAGCAGCAAUGCCAGCCUGAGUUCAGGAGGAUUUCAAAACAGUCACACUCCGUUCAGUGCUGCAACAUGAGCACACAUAUUAUGACAUAACUUCUGAAAACUUGCCUAACUCUUCUGUUUGAUGAUAGACCUUUGCCAUGGAUGUGCCACAUUUAUUUUUUGAGAAGAAUGAAAACGAGUCUGUGAGGAAUAAAAGUGCAACUCGUUCAGUUCAGGAGAUCGUUCUGUUGUUUAAUAACACACUGAUUGUUCAGCUGAUGAUAAAAAUAGAAAGAUGAAAACUCUAUCAAACGGUUUUGAAAGUUUUAAGUUGUGAAAAAUUACUAAGGUCUAUUAAAAGACUCACUUAGCUGUGACUUGAUGUGGAGCAGCAGAAGCAGACCAAUUAAUGCAAAGUAACUAUAUCAUUAUGAACGAUAGAUAUGACAGUUUUAUGAUGCAUUCUUUAAUAAACCUUCUGCAGUAAAACCUAUCUGCAGUGCUGUUCUAUAUUCCAUACCAUUGAGAAAUCCAGUACCAGUAAAGGUUUGAGUGAUGUGUCAUGAAAGGUCAGGAGGGAGAAUGUGUUCAAAGCAGAGUGAGACGUGCAAUCAGUGCAUCUGUCCUUGCAUGUCACAGGAUCAGGGUACACUGUCCACCUGCAACUAUCUAAGGCCACGAACGUGAUGAGCACCCUGAGUCUACCCCAGGACAAGCCCAAAAUAAGAUCAGAUGUUGGCCACGGGUAGAGAUUAUGAACCCUGGGGAUUGUAUAAAGACACCUAGCAUGCUAACUGAGCUGUGUGUGUGUGUGUGUGUGUGUGUGUAUUCUGAUGUGCUGUGCCUGCAAACCUAUUACUUCAUGUAUAUCCAAAAAUACAUCAUAGUUGGAAAUGCAUCAAACAUCUGAAAUCAAU